AGACAACUUUGAUUCAUUCUCAUUUUAUUGUGAUACAGUGAAGUCUAAAGGGGAAUUUCCUAAGAGCAGAAUCUCAAAAAUGUAUAAAAAAGGCACUGAAUUUAGCUUAAAGGCAAUAUAUAUGUUUGCAAUGUAUGUUCACACCCACCUUUCUGCAAACCAAUAAAUAUCAGUCCAGUGAGCAUCUCAGACACUUUCUGAUCUUCGACUCAUUGAGACUCUUUCAUUCACACCAGCUCAAGAACAGCACGAAGGAUGAGAACGGAGGUUUUCCUAAUGUUCCUCAUGAUUCUGGUGUUCACUGAUGGAUGGGAUAAUAUCGGCUUCAGCCAUAAGCAACGGGUUCUUUUCAACUCCGCACCCUGCCUGACAUCUGGGAACAACAACGCAUAUAAUAUUUUUGAACACCAACAUAUUCUCUCAUAUGAUUUUGACAGAAACAGUAAACAGGCUUGGGCAGAUUACCUAAAUGAUAUGGAACUUUGUGGCAGAAAACCUUUACAGUCUUUCCUUCCUGGAUACUACACUGAUAGUAUUAAAAGAAUCUGCAACGGACAAGGCACUGAAGUCGAAAGAAACUUGUGCAUUAGUACGGAUAUGUUUUUGGUGUACAUUGUUCAAAGUGCUUUGGUAAAUAACAGGUGUGAAGUUCAUGUUCGCCAUAGUAGUUUUUAUGUGACUGUUGCUUGUGAUGUCAUUGAUAAUGAAUGUUUGCCUGUUCACUAUCAGACACAAACUAGCAAUGAGCCAGACCAACGUGGUUCAAUCUGCAAACUUCAUCACUGGCCACACCUACGUUUUUAACCAUUAAUUAAAAUGUUGGUUUGCCAUAUGCAUGUUUAAACUCCAGAAUCUCUCAAUAAAAGCUUUCUUUGCAGA
Cyprinus carpio (common carp) is the source of this 879-nucleotide long non-coding RNA. RefSeq lists it as uncharacterized. NCBI's taxonomy places the organism in Eukaryota, Metazoa, Chordata, Actinopteri, Cypriniformes, Cyprinidae. The record is from RefSeq and is a predicted model, not a curated record.